RNAcentral lists this ribosomal RNA (467 nucleotides) under uncultured bacterium. Its description in RNAcentral is "partial 16S ribosomal RNA". It matches the Rfam family "Bacterial small subunit ribosomal RNA", at positions 28 to 507 of the family's 1533-position model. The record is from RNAcentral.
GAUGAACGCUGGCGGCGUGCUUAACACAUGCAAGUCGAACGGAAAGGCCCAAGCUUGCUUGGGUACUCGAGUGGCGAACGGGUGAGUAACACGUGGGUGAUCUGCCCUGCACUUCGGGAUAAGCCUGGGAAACUGGGUCUAAUACCGGAUAGGACCACUUCUUGGUUGUUGUGGUGGAAAGUUUUUUCGGUGUGGGAUGAGCUCGCGGCCUAUCAGCUUGUUGGUGGGGUAAUGGCCUACCAAGGCGUCGACGGGUAGCCGGCCUGAGAGGGUGUACAGCCACAUUGGGACUGAGAUACGGCCCAGACGCCUACGGGAGGCAGCAGUGGGGAAUAUUGCACAAUGGGCGCAAGCCGGAUGCAGCGACGCCGCGUGGGGGAGGACGGCCUUCGGGUUGUAAACUCCUUUCGCGAGGGACGAAGCGUUUUGUGACGGUACCUGGAGAAGAAGCACCGGCUAACUACGUG